GACGUAGGGCGCGAGCGUUGUCCGGAUUUAUUGGGCGUAAAGAGCGUGUAGGCGGCCAAGCAGGUCCGCUGUGAAAACUCGAGGCUCAACCUCGAGAGGUCGGUGGAAACCGUUUGGCUAGAGUCCGGAAGAGGAGAGUGGAAUUCCCGGUGUAGCGGUGAAAUGCGCAGAUAUCGGGAAGAACACCCGUGGCGAAGGCGGCUCUCUGGGACGGUACUGACGCUGAGACGCGAAAGCGUGGGGAGCGAACAGG
RNAcentral lists this ribosomal RNA (253 nucleotides) under uncultured bacterium. Its description in RNAcentral is "partial 16S ribosomal RNA". It matches the Rfam family "Bacterial small subunit ribosomal RNA", at positions 524 to 776 of the family's 1533-position model. The record is from RNAcentral.